RNAcentral lists this ribosomal RNA (573 nucleotides) under Escherichia coli. RNAcentral describes it as "bacterial SSU rRNA". It matches the Rfam family "Bacterial small subunit ribosomal RNA", at positions 1 to 563 of the family's 1533-position model. Lineage: Bacteria; Pseudomonadati; Pseudomonadota; Gammaproteobacteria; Enterobacterales; Enterobacteriaceae. The record is from RNAcentral.
AAAUUGAAGAGUUUGAUCAUGGCUCAGAUUGAACGCUGGCGGCAGGCCUAACACAUGCAAGUCGAACGGUAACAGGAAACAGCUUGCUGUUUCGCUGACGAGUGGCGGACGGGUGAGUAAUGUCUGGGAAACUGCCUGAUGGAGGGGGAUAACUACUGGAAACGGUAGCUAAUACCGCAUAACGUCGCAAGACCAAAGAGGGGGACCUUCGGGCCUCUUGCCAUCGGAUGUGCCCAGAUGGGAUUAGCUUGUUGGUGGGGUAACGGCUCACCAAGGCGACGAUCCCUAGCUGGUCUGAGAGGAUGACCAGCCACACUGGAACUGAGACACGGUCCAGACUCCUACGGGAGGCAGCAGUGGGGAAUAUUGCACAAUGGGCGCAAGCCUGAUGCAGCCAUGCCGCGUGUAUGAAGAAGGCCUUCGGGUUGUAAAGUACUUUCAGCGGGGAGGAAGGGAGUAAAGUUAAUACCUUUGCUCAUUGACGUUACCCGCAGAAGAAGCACCGGCUAACUCCGUGCCAGCAGCCGCGGUAAUACGGAGGGUGCAAGCGUUAAUCGGAAUUACUGGGCGUAA